This 497-nucleotide ribosomal RNA is filed under the name uncultured bacterium. RNAcentral describes it as "partial 16S ribosomal RNA". It matches the Rfam family "Bacterial small subunit ribosomal RNA", at positions 28 to 507 of the family's 1533-position model. The record is from RNAcentral.
GAUGAACGCUGGCGGCGUGCCUAAUACAUGCAAGUCGAGCGAACAGACGAGGAGCUUGCUCCUCUGACGUUAGCGGCGGACGGGUGAGUAACACGUGGAUAACCUACCUAUAAGACUGGGAUAACUUCGGGAAACCGGAGCUAAUACCGGAUAAUAUAUUGAACCGCAUGGUUCAAUAGUGAAAUACGGUUUUGCUGUCACUUAUAGAUGGAUCCGCGCCGCAUUAGCUAGUUGGUAAGGUAACGGCUUACCAAGGCAACGAUGCGUAGCCGGCCUGAGAGGGUGAUCGGCCACACUGGAACUGAGACACGGUCCAGACUCCUACGGGAGGCAGCAGUGGGGAAUCUUCCGCAAUGGGCGAAAGCCUGACGGAGCAACGCCGCGUGAGUGAUGAAGGUCUUCGGAUCGUAAAACUCUGUUAUUAGGGAAGAACAAAUGUGUAAGUAACUAUGCACGUCUUGACGGUACCUAAUCAGAAAGCCACGGCUAACUACGUG